CCUACGGGUGGCAGCAGUGGGGAAUAUUGGACAAUGGGCGAAAGCCUGAUCCAGCCAUGCCGCGUGUGUGAAGAAGGCCUUCGGGUUGUAAAGCACUUUCAGUGGGGAAGAAAGCCUUGGGGCUAAUACCCUCGAGGAAGGACAUCACCCACAGAAGAAGCACCGGCUAACUCCGUGCCAGCAGCCGCGGUAAUACGGAGGGUGCGAGCGUUAAUCGGAAUUACUGGGCGUAAAGCGCGCGUAGGCGGUCUGAUAAGCCGGUUGUGAAAGCCCCGGGCUCAACCUGGGAACGGCAUCCGGAACUGUCAGGCUAGAGUGCAGAAGAGGAAGGUAGAAUUCCCGGUGUAGCGGUGAAAUGCGUAGAGAUCGGGAGGAAUACCAGUGGCGAAGGCGGCCUUCUGGACUGACACUGACGCUGAGGUGCGAAAGCGUGGGUAGCAAACAGGAUUAGAUACCCUAGUAGUC
Molecule: ribosomal RNA, 465 nt
Filed under: Vreelandella stevensii
Lineage: Bacteria; Pseudomonadati; Pseudomonadota; Gammaproteobacteria; Oceanospirillales; Halomonadaceae
Description: partial 16S ribosomal RNA
Rfam family: Bacterial small subunit ribosomal RNA
Source: RNAcentral